CAUAAAAAAAAAUAUAUAUAAAAAUUUAGAAUUAUAUAUAUAUAUAUAUAAAAUUGAGCUAGAAUACUUUUAAAAGUAUUACCGAAUUAUAUAAAAUUGAGCUAGAAUAUUUUUAAAAGUAUUACCGAAUUGGUGCUUUUAGAUUUCUAACCCUUGGAUCUACUUCUUGAUUACUAAUAACCCUUAGAUCAAACACUAUUCCACCUACCACCACCUAUUAUCAUCAUCCAAACCUUAUAUUUUUUCAUCCAAUGGUUAAAAACUCAAAAAGCACCAACCUCAUAAUACUUUUAAAAGUAUUAGUUCAACUCUCUCUCUCUCUCUCUCUCUCUCUAUAUGAAUUGUAAAUAUAUUUUUAUAAAGUUAAGUUUUCAUUUAUCGUAUUUAUAAAAGUUUUAAUACUUUCAAAUAUAUCCCUCUGAUUUAUUAUCGUUAUAGAAUUAUUUCUAUUUUAAGUAAAAUAUUAAUUUUUUCAUCACAAAUAUGUCCCUCCAAAAGUCAUAACAGUAUAAUAUAAGAGGGGCAAAAAUAUCAAGUUAUCUCAUAAACUGACCAUGGUUAAUUAAAAUUUUAUAACAGAUUUUAACGAUAUGGAUAUAUAUUUGAAAAUAUUAACAAUUUUUUAAGAACAAUAUGAAAGUUAAAUUUUGUAGGGAUAUAUUUAUAAUUUACUAGAUUUGUACGGACCUUUAUGACUGGAAUUUAUCUGAACUAUGUAGAAUUUUGAGUUGGGUG
Molecule: long non-coding RNA, 735 nt
Filed under: Ananas comosus (pineapple)
Lineage: Eukaryota; Viridiplantae; Streptophyta; Magnoliopsida; Poales; Bromeliaceae
Description: long non-coding RNA (ACOM_LNC013016)
Source: RNAcentral